Molecule: ribosomal RNA, 253 nt
Filed under: uncultured bacterium
Lineage: Bacteria
Description: partial 16S ribosomal RNA
Rfam family: Bacterial small subunit ribosomal RNA
Source: RNAcentral
UACAGAGGUCUCAAGCGUUGUUCGGAAUCACUGGGCGUAAAGGGUGCGUAGGCGGCGUGGUAAGUCAGUUGUGAAAGGCCGGGGCUCAACCCUGGUAUUGCAACCGAUACUGCCGUGCUGGAGUGUUGGAGGGGAGUCUGGAAUUCACGGUGGAGCAGUGAAAUGCGUAGAUAUCGGGAGGAACACCAGUGGCGAAGGCGAGUCUCUGGACAACAACUGACGCUGAGGCACGAAGGCUAGGGUAGCGAACGGG